Molecule: long non-coding RNA, 229 nt
Filed under: Crocodylus porosus (Australian saltwater crocodile)
Lineage: Eukaryota; Metazoa; Chordata; Crocodylia; Crocodylidae
Description: lncRNA (ENSCPRG00005010265.1)
Source: RNAcentral
CAAAUCUCCGGCUGGACGCAGGCAGGCAGGCAUCGAAACGGACGGAGGGAUGGACACGGGGGCAGGGCCUUUCACAGGGUCCGAGGAAGUGCGCUUCAGCUUGUCCCGCAUCUGUCUUAUCAACUUCGGUUGGUCGCCACCCGUGGAUCUCAGACCCUCUGAAGCUCUGAAGACAAAUCUCUGAGCACAGGACAGAAACAGCACGUGGGCUUGCGAAACGAACCCAACU